RNAcentral lists this ribosomal RNA (497 nucleotides) under uncultured bacterium. RNAcentral describes it as "partial 16S ribosomal RNA". It matches the Rfam family "Bacterial small subunit ribosomal RNA", at positions 28 to 507 of the family's 1533-position model. The record is from RNAcentral.
GAUGAACGCUGGCGGCGUGCCUAAUACAUGCAAGUCGAGCGAAAAGACGAGGAGCUUGCUCCUCGGACGUUAGCGGCGGACGGGAGAGUAACACGUGGAUCACCUACCUAUAAGACUGGUAAAACUUCGGGAAACCGGAGCUAAUACCGGAGAAUAUAUUGAACCGCAUGGGGGAAUAGUGAAUGACGGUUUUGGUGGAACGUAUAGAUGGAUACGCGCCGGAUUAGCUAGUUGGUAAGGUAACAGCUUACCAAGGCAACGAGGCGUAGCCGACCUGUGGGGGUGAUAGGCCACACGGGAACUGAGCCACCGUCCAUGCUCCUGCGGGAGGCAGCAGUAGGCAAUCUUCCGCAAUGGGCGAAAGCCUGACGGAGCGGCGCCACGCCUGUGGCGACGGUGUUCCGUUCGUAAUGCCGUGUUACUAGUGAAGAACCACUGUGUACGUAACUGUGCCCGUCUUGACGGUACCUAAUCAGAAAGCCCCGGCUAACUACGUG